AUGUCCAUAGAAAAUUCAAAUAAUGAACAAUUUGUUGGAUAGGUCAUAUAUACCAUUCGAUCUAAUCAGGGCCACAAGAUUGUGAAGAGUGAAAUACCAAUCCUUUUUCUUCCAUUCACCACACAACCUCCACCUGAUCAAUUUUCUUCAUCAAUCAAAAGCUGAGGUUCUUGUUUGGUGUCGGUCCUUAAUUUUUCCGACUCUCAAAUUUGUCCUAGUUGCCCCAACUUGUCUCAAAUUGAUCCCAAGCGUUCUUUGGGCUCUCUUUAUGAAGAAUUCAACAUUGUUGGCGCUCAAAUCUCAAUAAAAUUACCAGAAUCCUAACAUUGAAGAACGGCCAUUGAGUUUUUCUUUUUCAAGUGUUUUUAGUAUCUCUUUUAAUUAAGUAGAUGUUGUGAGUUUGAGCUUAAUGAGUUUUUAUGUUUUCAUGGUUUGUUUUUUCUUUCUCUAUUUUCAAUUAGGUUCAGUUAAGUUUAGUUCUUUUGGUUAGCUUAAUUGAUCAAUUGAUAGUUAAUUAGUUCGUCUGAGUGUUGAUUCUCAUUUGGUUAGCUUUAAUUGCUAGUAGUUAGUUGAUUCAGAGUUUGUUGGAUUAGCUAUUGAGUUGGAUUAAUUAGGAUCGUUUUAGUUAUGGUAAUGUUUUAGGAAUCUAACAAUUAGCAUCUAUUCCGUCAUUAGUUAUUAGGAUUAUUUGAAAAAUAGCUAAAAUUACCUAGAUCUUUCUAGAAUAAGACACAAAUCAGAUUUUAAUAAAUUUGAGGUAGCAACAUGUGUUACAAUUAUAAAGGGGACUAAAAGCUAAUUUGAGUAAGAACUAAGGAGAAAAAAAAACAUGGGGUCGCCUCAGUCAUGCCUAUAUAAAGGGCACUCCCAUGCCUUGGAAAGCAAGUUUUUGAACCCCAAUAUUCCUCCAAAAGUUUCCAUCCCAGAUCUGAAUCAAAAACUCGAAAUUGAAAACGUAGAUCUUAGAUUUACCAAAAAAUCCAAAAAAACAGAAAGCACAACAACAAAAAAAAUCAAAAAAUACUGUUACAUUGUUUCCUUUAGUUCAAUUUCAAAUUAUGGCACUAGUGUUCAUCUCAUUUGGGACAAAUAUUGGUUUGCUGAAGCUUUAGGUUGUUUUGGGGGUAUUUUCGAAUUCUUUGGUGUUGCUCAAGUUAUUUUAAUUGGUUUUCCUGAUUGAUUUGGUGCGAAACAUCAACUGGUUUGAAUUUGAAGUGUGAAGUUGAUUUCUGAGUUGAAUACUGUUGUUCGAAUUCCAGCUGUUGGUAUUUUUUGCUGAUUGUUGCUGAUACCUGUGUACUGCUGCUGACCUCCGUCCUUAUUUCUUUUUUAUUCAUGCAUUCAGGUACACAUCUCAAAUACUGCAAAUGUAUCCAUGUUGAAAAGUGCAAUGAAUGAGACUUGACAAUUGUUAUGAAGUUUAGUAGUUGUGUUCUAUCUGUGAUAAUUUAUUUUGUGUUAUAAACUAAAGCAAAAGACAAGAACAAUAGAGCAAGAACAAUAGCAAUAGAGAG
Molecule: long non-coding RNA, 1514 nt
Filed under: Nicotiana benthamiana
Lineage: Eukaryota; Viridiplantae; Streptophyta; Magnoliopsida; Solanales; Solanaceae
Description: long non-coding RNA (NBEN_LNC012380)
Source: RNAcentral